RNAcentral lists this ribosomal RNA (411 nucleotides) under uncultured bacterium. RNAcentral's name for it is "bacterial SSU rRNA". It matches the Rfam family "Bacterial small subunit ribosomal RNA", at positions 9 to 421 of the family's 1533-position model. The record is from RNAcentral.
GAGUUUGAUCGUGGCUCAGAUUGAACGCUGGCGGCAGGCCUAACACAUGCAAGUCGAGCGGUAGAGAGAAGCUUGCUUCUCUUGAGAGCGGCGGACGGGUGAGUAAUGCCUAGGAAUCUGCCUGGUAGUGGGGGAUAACGCUCGGAAACGGACGCUAAUACCGCAUACGUCCUACGGGAGAAAGCAGGGGACCUUCGGGCCUUGCGCUAUCAGAUGAGCCUAGGUCGGAUUAGCUAGUUGGUGAGGUAAUGGCUCACCAAGGCGACGAUCCGUAACUGGUCUGAGAGGAUGAUCAGUCACACUGGAACUGAGACACGGUCCAGACUCCUACGGGAGGCAGCAGUGGGGAAGUAUUGGACAAUGGGCGAAAGCCUGAUCCAGCCAUGCCGCGUGUGUGAAGAAGGUCUUCGG